CAGAACCCCAGCUGAAAGCAAAGUUCAAGAUCAUUCCAAGGCCCUUGAGUUGCCAAAACAUCCAAACGACACUGAUGUGCAUGGCUGCAGAAGCUGGGGAGGAAGGAGAGUGGGAGCAGGGAGAGAACCUACAAAUCCCCAACAGAAAAACCAGAAGCGCAGGGGAGCCCCAGACACUGGCAUCUGGAUGGGCCCUGGCAAGCCGGAGGACAGUCCACGGCAAAGAGUCUCAGGGUCUUGCAGAGCGACACACUCAACACCCUCCGUGUCACAGGGACCCUGUGGGGAAAAGUGGUUCCCCUGCCCCCACCCAAGCCAGAGUCUUCCAGAGUCUCCCAUCUCAGUAUCCUGAACCCAUGGCUUAGAGGUUCUGGCAUGAUGGCCGUGAGGGCAGGAGGGGAUUCAAGCCAGGCCCCAGAGUUCAGGUGUUAAUGCUGUCCUAGAGCAGGUGGCCACGUG
This 459-nucleotide long non-coding RNA is filed under the name Sus scrofa (pig). RNAcentral's name for it is "lncRNA (ENSSSCG00015010768.1)". The record is from RNAcentral. Lineage: Eukaryota; Metazoa; Chordata; Mammalia; Artiodactyla; Suidae.